RNAcentral lists this ribosomal RNA (247 nucleotides) under uncultured bacterium. Its description in RNAcentral is "partial 16S ribosomal RNA". It matches the Rfam family "Bacterial small subunit ribosomal RNA", at positions 523 to 769 of the family's 1533-position model. The record is from RNAcentral.
AUACGUAGGUGGCGAGCGUUACUCGGAAUUACUAGGCGUAAAGGCGUAUGUAGGUGGUUAGAUAAGUCUAUGGUGAAAUUUCCUGGCUUAACUGGGAAGGGACAUAGAUACUAUCUGGCUUGAGUGUGGGAGGGGGAGACGGAAUUCCUGGUGUAGCGGUGAAAUGCGUAGAUAUCAGGAGGAACACCGAUGGCGAAAGCAGUCUCCUGGCCCAAUACUGACACUGAGGUACGAAAGCUAGGGUAGC